This 376-nucleotide unclassified non-coding RNA is filed under the name soil metagenome. RNAcentral describes it as "partial contains 5.8S ribosomal RNA, internal transcribed spacer 2, and large subunit ribosomal RNA". The stretch from base 1 to 120 matches the Rfam family "5.8S ribosomal RNA", at positions 35 to 154 of the family's 154-position model. The record is from RNAcentral.
GAUGAAGAACGUAGCGAAAUGCGAUAAGUAAUGUGAAUUGCAGAAUUCAGUGAAUCAUCGAAUCUUUGAACGCAUCUUGCGCUCCUUGGUAUUCUGAGGAGCAUGCCUGUUUGAGUGUCAUUAAAUUCUCAACUACACUGACUUUGAAUUGGUGUGGCUUGGAUUUGGGGGGAAAAUUGUUGUGGGCUUUUUGUAUAGUCUGCUCCCCUGAAAUUGAUUAGCGGUACCUUUGUGGAACUGUCUACAGGUGUGAUAAUUAUCUACAUCUUAGACAUCUGCUGGAAUGCUGCUUUCUAAACCUUACUUGUAUUGACAAUCUUGACCUCAAAUCAGGUAGGACUACCCGCUGAACUUAAGCGUAUCAAUAAGCGGAGGA